Ornithorhynchus anatinus (platypus) is the source of this 1740-nucleotide long non-coding RNA. RefSeq lists it as uncharacterized. The transcript is spliced from 3 exons. The record is from RefSeq and is a predicted model, not a curated record. NCBI's taxonomy places the organism in Eukaryota, Metazoa, Chordata, Mammalia, Monotremata, Ornithorhynchidae.
AAGUCCAGGGUCUUAGUUACUUGUCUGCUGUGUGACCUUGGGAGCUGGAUGAAUGGCUUCAGGAAGAAACGUGGAAUAUUUGAGCUUCCAGUGGCCUGGACCCAACAGCUAAAGGAUGAAGUUCGGAUCUCUGAGGACUUUACCAAAAUCCUUGUGAUCAAGCUGGGGGUGAAAGAGCCAUGUCUGACAGCAGUCUUUUCUAUUAUAAUGCAUGUUUAUAUUACACAAUUUGGAAGGAUUGUAAUGUAAGGGUAGGGGAACAUAGUUGUCAUAACAGGGUUGUAGACUGGCUGGGUAUUGAUUAUAAUGGGAAGGUGUUCUGUCAGGAAUGCUGCUUCACAUAAAUGACAUAGUCCUGUGACCACCCUGGUUUCAGCCAGGGGUCAGCAACCUUUCUUUGCAGAAGAGCCACACAAAAUGAAAUCUUUGAGCAGUUGGUGCCAGAAAAGCCAAUCGCACAAUUUAAACACUCAUUUAUGUAACUUAUGUAUUGCAAAUCUAAUGACUGCAAAUUUAUCAUCUCCCAUUCCAUAUGGUAGCGGAAUAUUUAAAUGCCUCGUUCUGUAGCUGAGCCCUUCAGAAUGCCUGCUCAGUGGCAUCUGGGAUGAUGUUAUACCCCAUUCAUUCAAUCAUACUUAUUGAGCGCUUACUGUGUGCAGAGCACUGUACUAGGUGCUCGUGAGAGUACAUACAACAAAAACAGAUACAUUCCCUGCCCACAACAGGUUUACAAUCUAGAGGAGCUUCAGGGUUUCAUGAUUUUCUGGGGCUACUGCAGAACUCACAACAGGAUGCUGUCACACUGCACUCAGUGCAUUUAAUGAUAUCCCGGCCACCAUGUCCUGCUUCAUAGACAAUGCUGUGGGACCAGUAGGAGAAAGGAGGAGAGGAAAGGGAAGAGAGAGGAAAAGUAGAGAAGGGAAAGGGAAAGAAAGGAAGUCAAUGAGAAGAUAAGGAAGAGGUAAGGAAAGAUGACAGUUAACUGCUAGCACUGGCAGAGAAUAGUGUCAGUGCCCUCCCACACACACGUCGAAAAGGCUGUGCCCACGUGGCCCAGCAUGAAAAUCAAUAGCAAUACCCCUCCUUCACUGCUUGAUCCCUCCCCAUCCUCCAAGGGCACAAUAUCAACAUGUCCGGGGGAGAGGGGGACCUGACCUUCUCCAACUUGGACCAGGAUACCAUCCUUUCCUGCUUUGUGGCCUAUCCUCUAGACUGUAAGCUCAUUUUGGGCAGGGAUGUUCUUUUUAUUGUUAUAUCAUACUCUCCCAAGCACUUAGUACAGUGAUUGUCAAACAGUAAGCACUCAAUAAAUACAGUUGCCUGAUUGACAGGAUGGGUUUGGGCCAUGCUGCUUGGAUAUUUGAGAAGGAGGGAGGGCUUCCUGGUGGCACAUGGUGGGUGUCUAAGAUCUGCUGCGGCUCCUGCACUUGCCCCUGUUUCUGUUCUUCCCUGUGCUCCUGCCAGCAGUCGUCCAUCUCCCUCCUUCCCUCCCAGCUCUGAAGACCAGUCAAGCCCUUGGGAGCCUCCAAAAUUGACAGAAGGGGGCUUCAAAAGUCUCACCUCUCCUUUGUGACUCAAAAGUCACAUUUAGUUCCAAGAAGAUCCAGAGAUACCCUCCUUGCAGUCAGGGAACAUGUCUACCAACUGUUAUGUUGUACUCUCCCAAGCACUUAGUGUAUUGCUGUGCACACAGUAAUUGCUCAAUAAAUACCAUUGUUAACACUGGAGCCAUAGGUGGAA